CCAGCUAAGGGAAGGGGGACCCCAAACCUCCGAGGCGCGUUCCUUUCCCCACUUGCGCCUUAACGUUGUCCAAAUGGCCUGUCUCCGGCAGGACUGACUUUAUCUGCCCGGCCUCGCUCAGCUGCCAACCUUACCCGAAAUCUAGACCCCAGACCUGGUUCUGGAGAUACAGUGAUAAACAAGAUGAAAUUCCUCAUGGGGCUUACAUUCUAGUGGGGAUGGAAGAUGACAAUACAUAUGGAAAAGAAACAUCUAAAAGGUUAAAAUACAGUCCUCAUUUUGGCUUACUCUCAUAACUACAAGGAUGUUAUGAAGAUUAGUGGUGCGGGACGUAUAAUGUCCUACAAGCUCCAUAGAAGUAACGUACUACGUCAGUACAAAGCAUGAUUACUGCUGCUACUUGCCACAAGGCUGGGCUUACCAACACACAGUUCACAGGCUGCUGAGCCACCAGCACACGAUGUACAUUUUUUUUCUCUAUGUGGAUUAAAGUGGAAAAGAUUUCCCUUGGGAUAUUUGGACCAUUUGCUCUCCUUAAGUGUUUUACAGGGGUGGUGCUGUCGAUAGACAAGGUGGGAAGUGAGAUUAACUUUAGAUUAACACAUGGAUGGGAAGCCAAACCAAAAAACUUGUAUAAAGAAUAAAUAAAGCAUAAUCUUAAUGUCUGAAAA
Long non-coding RNA from Chinchilla lanigera (long-tailed chinchilla), 671 nucleotides. RefSeq lists it as uncharacterized. The transcript has 3 exons. NCBI's taxonomy places the organism in Eukaryota, Metazoa, Chordata, Mammalia, Rodentia, Chinchillidae. The record is from RefSeq and is a predicted model, not a curated record.